RNAcentral lists this long non-coding RNA (570 nucleotides) under Marmota monax (woodchuck). Lineage: Eukaryota; Metazoa; Chordata; Mammalia; Rodentia; Sciuridae. The record is from RNAcentral.
GUUUUUCUAGGUGUUCAAAAAAGGCCCUAAUAAAAUGUUGAUAAAAUGUCUAUGAAAUAAUCUGCUUAAAUUCAGAAAUUUAUAAGUAUUGUUUCAAAAUGUGAACAGAAAAGAAGGUUAACAGAUAAAAAAAAUAAAUAAAAGGUUCUAGGUGUGGAUUUCAUAGAGGGAAAAUGUGUUUCUGGAUAAGAGUCUAUAUGAUUAAGUAAUUAAGAGGGUUUAAGUAAGUGAUAAAGAAGGUCUAUGUAAGUUGGUUAUAUGUGUAAGUUUUUGAGCAAGUAAUCUUAAAGAAAUUAAAAAGCUGGAUAAACAAGUGCUGUUUUAGAGCAUUGUGCUGUGUUAUUUCUUUAAAAGCUAAACUUGGUUAAUAUAAAAACAUCAAUGUAAUUGUGGUGCUAUUAAUGUGUUCAUAUCUUCCAGGUAUACAAGUUUGUAAGAAAAAAGAGCAUUAUAUCAAGCUGGUGUUCUAAAAUUGUAUGGUAAUUUUAGACUUAAAAAAAACAUGUUGGAGAUUUAUUUAUAUCAUUUUUGUUCUAUAACUGGACUUGUUAUCAAUAAGAUAUGUAAAGU